AGUCACUGACAUUAGAUACCCCGGUAGUCCCAGCCGUAAACAAUGUGCGUUAGGUGUGUCGGUAACCACGCGUUACUGAUGCGCCGAAGAGAAAUCGUGAAACGCACCACCUGGGAAGUACGGUCGCAAGGCUGAAACUUAAAGGAAUUGGCGGGGAGCACCACAACAGGUGGAGCCUGCGGUUUAAUUGGAUUCAACGCCGGACAUCUCACCGGAUAAGACAGCUGAAUGAUUGUCAAUCUGAAGGUUUUACAUGACUAGCUG
Molecule: ribosomal RNA, 264 nt
Filed under: uncultured archaeon
Lineage: Archaea
Description: partial 16S ribosomal RNA
Rfam family: Archaeal small subunit ribosomal RNA
Source: RNAcentral